RNAcentral lists this ribosomal RNA (429 nucleotides) under uncultured archaeon. Its description in RNAcentral is "bacterial SSU rRNA". It matches the Rfam family "Archaeal small subunit ribosomal RNA", at positions 474 to 903 of the family's 1478-position model. The record is from RNAcentral.
UACCAGCUCUCCGAGUGGUAGGGAUGAUUAUUGGGCUUAAAGCGUCCGUAGCCGGCUUAGCAAGUCUCCUGUUAAAUUCAGCGACCUAAUCGUUGAGCCGCGGGAGAUACUACUAGGCUAGGAGGCGGGAGAGGUCAACGGUACUUCCGGGGUAGGGGUGAAAUCCUAUAAUCCCGGGAGGACCACCAGUGGCGAAGGCUGUUGACUAGAACGCGCUCGACGGUGAGGGACGAAAGCUGGGGGAGCGAACCGGAUUAGAUACCCGGGUAGUCCCAGCUGUAAACGAUGCGAGCUAGGUGUUGGGGUGGCUACGUGCCACUUCAGUGCCGCAGGGAAGCCAUUAAGCUCGCCGCCUGGGGAGUACGGCCGCAAGGCUGAAACUUAAAGAAAUUGGCGGGGGAGCACCACAAGGCGUGAAGCUUGCGGUUC